GGAUAAGAAACUAAAUAGGAUUCCCUCAGUAAUGGCGAAUGAACAGGGAUAAGCUCAGCAUGGAAAUUGGGGCCUCCGGCCUUGAAUUGUAGUCUUGAGAUGUGUUACCAACGGAGGCGCAGAUGUAAGCCUCUUGGAAAAGAGCGUCAGGGAGGGUGAGAGUCCCGUAUGUCAUCUGCAGUUCUCUGUGCACGGUACAUUUUCUAAGAGUCACGUUCCUCGGGAUUGGAGCGCAAAUUGGGUGGUAAAUUUCAUCUAAAGCUAAAUAUUGGUUCGAGACCGAUAGCAAACAAGUACCAUGAGGGAAAGGUGAAAAGGACUUUGAAAAGAGAGUUAAAAGUGCCUGAAAUUGCUGAAAGGGAAGCGAAUGGAACCAGUUGUUCUUGGCGAGUAUUGGUGUUGUCUAAGGUGAUAGCUUGCCACUUCAACGCAAGUGUGGUGGCAGGUUUUGAUCUGGAUGCGAUACUGCUUCUCGCCUUGCGUGUCAACGUCAGUUCAUAAUUGAGGAAAACUCUAGGGACAUGGUAAUUUGCUUCCGGGCGACUGAAUGUCCCCAGUUGAACUCAUUUUUGAACUGCUCACUGUGUGUCUGGUCGCACUGCUCCGUGUGCUUGCUUGCAAUCUUCUGCUUGGCAUGAAGGUUGCUAGUGCCAGGAGCAUGUCCUUGACAUAAGAACGAUGACGAAAUGGUUUUAUUCGACCCGUCUUGAAACACGGACCAAGGAGACU
RNAcentral lists this ribosomal RNA (729 nucleotides) under Karenia brevis. Its description in RNAcentral is "LSU rRNA". It matches the Rfam family "Eukaryotic large subunit ribosomal RNA", at positions 55 to 676 of the family's 3401-position model. The record is from RNAcentral. Lineage: Eukaryota; Dinophyceae; Gymnodiniales; Kareniaceae.